CCUACGGGUGGCUGCAGUGGGGAAUAUUGGACAAUGGGCGAAAGCCUGAUCCAGCCAUGCCGCGUGUGUGAAGAAGGCCUUCGGGUUGUAAAGCACUUUCAGUGGGGAAGAAAGCCUUGGGGCUAAUACCCUCGAGGAAGGACAUCACCCACAGAAGAAGCACCGGCUAACUCCGUGCCAGCAGCCGCGGUAAUACGGAGGGUGCGAGCGUUAAUCGGAAUUACUGGGCGUAAAGCGCGCGUAGGCGGUCUGAUAAGCCGGUUGUGAAAGCCCCGGGCUCAACCUGGGAACGGCAUCCGGAACUGUCAGGCUAGAGUGCAGGAGAGGAAGGUAGAAUUCCCGGUGUAGCGGUGAAAUGCGUAGAGAUCGGGAGGAAUACCAGUGGCGAAGGCGGCCUUCUGGACUGACACUGACGCUGAGGUUCGAAAGCGUGGGUAGCAAACAGGAUUAGAUACCCUUGUAGUC
This 465-nucleotide ribosomal RNA is filed under the name Vreelandella stevensii. RNAcentral's name for it is "partial 16S ribosomal RNA". It matches the Rfam family "Bacterial small subunit ribosomal RNA", at positions 338 to 795 of the family's 1533-position model. The record is from RNAcentral. Lineage: Bacteria; Pseudomonadati; Pseudomonadota; Gammaproteobacteria; Oceanospirillales; Halomonadaceae.